ACUUGAAUAGCUUAUAUUAGAGCGCAACACUGAAGAUGUUGAUGAGGUAUAUUUGUUGCCUUUAAGUA
This 68-nucleotide transfer RNA is filed under the name Astalotermes sp. B TB-2017. RNAcentral describes it as "tRNA-Phe". The record is from RNAcentral. Lineage: Eukaryota; Metazoa; Arthropoda; Insecta; Blattodea; Termitidae.